GGAGCGCCGACGCGCGUCCGUCGCGGGUAAGCUGGAUAACUACGAGGACGCGUUCCUUCGCAUCAAGGACGCCACGGGCGUGGCGGACAUCCACGAGGUUGUCACCAAAUUCAUGACCCAGGAGGACACCAACAACAACCUCAAGCAGCUCACCAAGGACGGCCAGUCGAGGGUCGAGGCGCUCAAGGAGGAGAUUGACCAGACGAAGCAGAAGAUCGAUGCGCUCAAGCUGGACGGCGCGGGGACUGGCGCGUCGCGCAGGCUCGUGGACGAGUACGAGAGCCAGCUCUCCGAGGGCGCCGCCAACAACGACCGCGUCAAGGCUAAGUUUGAGCGCCUCAACAAGGUGAUGGUGAGCAUGAAGGCUGGCACCGAGCACCUCGUCGACAGGCUGGAAGGUAUCAAGACGGAGGCGGCGCCCCCGGCGGUGACGGACGAGACCGUGGUGGAGGUGAUGGCGCACUGCGAGCGCAAGCUCCUCCGAGCGAUGGACC
This 494-nucleotide long non-coding RNA is filed under the name Micromonas commoda. RNAcentral's name for it is "long non-coding RNA (MCOM_LNC000224)". Lineage: Eukaryota; Viridiplantae; Chlorophyta; Mamiellophyceae; Mamiellales; Mamiellaceae. The record is from RNAcentral.